AUUCUAUUAUGUUUUGGCCAAGGUUAGUUUGCCUGGAUACAGACUAUUGGACACAGAACAAAGCACACAGAGAACCCUUGUGUGUUCGGGCACCCUCUGUAUGCACCUACUCUUCCCCGGGAGGAUUCAUUCUAAGGAAAGAGCAGCAACUCUGAAGCCCCGGAGCUGCCUGCUACCACUGAAAGGCCUUAGUGCCGUGGGAUUGGGCCUUCCACCCAGGGCGAAGAAGGAAUUUCUCUUUGUUGUGGGAAAGACAUGCAGGAGAUAA
Molecule: long non-coding RNA, 268 nt
Filed under: Canis lupus familiaris (dog)
Lineage: Eukaryota; Metazoa; Chordata; Mammalia; Carnivora; Canidae
Description: lncRNA (ENSCAFG00040000101.1)
Source: RNAcentral